GCUGGAGAUCCCUGUCUUUCUGAGGCCUUUCAAAGGAAGAGUGGAGUGAAAGGCUGUGUGGUGCUGAGCUGUUUGCCAGGUGAAAUCACAGCACAAAAUAUCUUCAAAUAAUCACUGAAGGACCUGGAACUGCAGCUGGUUUAAGAGAUGCUUAUUUUAUGCUGGUGAAAGGGAAACAAUAUCUUCAAAGAGGAAACAUAGAAUUUUUCUUCAAUCAAGAACGAUAAAAAAGACAUCCCUCCAGGAACAUAAAAAAAGAAGAGGCAAAACAUCACUGGGAAAACACCAUCCUAGUUGCCUUCUGUUGGCAUGUAUCAUCGAGAAGAUAAUAGUGGAAACUAAUAACUACUUAAAUUGCUGACCCACCAAUUUCUGAAUAUUAAAAACCUGACAUGGAAGGAAGGAAGAGUUUUACAUAGAGUUCCUUUAUUACUAAUAAGUGGGCAAAAUCUCAUCCUCAGCAUUUGUCCAAGGCUGCUGCACUGAGGCAAUGCCAUCUGAGCAAAUCUCAGGUAUGCUGUGCCUUUCCAAGGACACUCCUAGUCAGAGAUCCAGGUUUCUGUGCAUUCAUUUGUGAAGAGCAGUCCUCCCUGCCACUGACCAGGAUGAUCCAGCUAGAAAGAGUCAGAUGAAAGACAUAUACACAGUUGAAUGCCCUUCAGUGUGUAACUCCAAUAAAAAAGGAUUAAAACAUGUCAGUUUUAUUAAGUAACAUUAAACGACUGUGUACUAAUUGGUUUAUACUUUGCUAAACCUUCACGUUACUGCAGCAGAUGUUCCUGGCUUUAUAGCAUCUCCAAUACUAGUAUGUAGUGACACGUCUUUAAACUGCCUUAAUCAAGUCGCAUUUAAUUUCUUACUCUAGAUCUAAGAUAAAAUGCUAAAACGUCUUUGGAGAAAACACUAAUGAGACAAGUAAAAAAUCUAUUACUGUUUGUGUGAAAACUUUUGUCUGUUCACUUUAUCCAAAUCAGACUUUCUUAAACUGUUGUUAAAAACAAAAAACAACAAAAAGGAAAAACAACAAAAACAAACAACUCAUGUACCUGUCAUUUCACAUCCUCACUCAUAUUAUUCUGUGGCUUGUUUUCUUGUCACUAAUUGAAUUCAGAAGCUACACCGUAGUGUAUGGCUUGUUUGCUUUUUCUUGGGAGGAGAACAAAUAAAAAAUGAACAAAUAAAUGCUGCAAACUUGACAGCUGCUACUGGUUUAAAUUAUUUUGUGUGUAUGUUUGUGUAUAUUUAUUAACACUUGACUAUUUAAGAGACCAAAUGUAAUUUUACUUUGAUAAUUUCACUGUUGGAGUUUCUAAUCUCAUAUAUUCAGGUUAAAUUCAUUCUUAUGACACUUAACAAUGAAACAAUUUUAUUUCUGUAUUCUGUAUAUAAUUUUCAUUUAAAUAAACCCUAUAUCUACUCCCUCUCUUCCUCAGCAUAAAUUGGCCUGUGGACAUUUUUGUGAAUAGACUUUACAUUGGAAAAUGAGCAAAGGAAAAUUUGUACUUUGGCCCAUAGAAAUUGUAAUAAAACUUGAAUUUU
RNAcentral lists this long non-coding RNA (1539 nucleotides) under Gallus gallus (chicken). Its description in RNAcentral is "lncRNA (ENSGALG00010004544.1)". Lineage: Eukaryota; Metazoa; Chordata; Aves; Galliformes; Phasianidae. The record is from RNAcentral.